RNAcentral lists this ribosomal RNA (462 nucleotides) under uncultured bacterium. Its description in RNAcentral is "bacterial SSU rRNA". It matches the Rfam family "Bacterial small subunit ribosomal RNA", at positions 339 to 794 of the family's 1533-position model. The record is from RNAcentral.
GUACGGGAGGCAGCAGUCGAGAAUUUUUCACAAUGGGCGCAAGCCUGAUGGAGCGACGCCGCGUGGGGGAUGAAGGGCUUCGGCCCGUAAACCCCUGUCAUUUGCGAACAAACCUUGCCUGAUAACACCAGGCGAGCUGAUUGUAGUGAAAGAGGAAGGGACGGCUAACUCUGUGCCAGCAGCCGCGGUAAUACAGAGGUCCCAAGCGUUGUUCGGAUUCACUGGGCGUAAAGGGUGCGUAGGUGGUGAGGUAAGUCGGAUGUGAAAUCUCUGAGCUCAACUCAGAAAUGGCAUUGGAAACUACCUUGCUUGAGGAUUGGAGGGGGGACUGGAAUUCUCGGUGUAGCAGUGAAAUGCGUAGAGAUCGAGAGGAACACCAGUGGCGAAGGCGAGUCCCUGGACAAUACCUGACGCUGAGGCACGAAAGCUAGGGGAGCAAACAGGAUUAGAUACCCCGGUAGC